RNAcentral lists this microRNA precursor (98 nucleotides) under Colobus angolensis palliatus. RNAcentral's name for it is "miRNA (ENSCANG00000000990.1)". Lineage: Eukaryota; Metazoa; Chordata; Mammalia; Primates; Cercopithecidae. The record is from RNAcentral.
AGGUGGGAGGAUUGCUUGAGCUUAGGAGGUGGAGGUUGCAGUGAGCUGAGAUCACGCCACUGCACUCCAGCCUGGGUGACAGAGUGAGACCCUGUCUC